CGGUUGUAGCAGAUUUUACACUCGAGCUCCUCCAGAGUGUAAACCAGAGACUGAGCCCACGUCUGCACCUGCACACACACCUGCACAGCAGGAAGCAGGGACGGCGGUGGGCGGAGCUUAACUCAACCUGAGGCCGUCACCUGAGUAGACGACAAACACAGGUAACAGCAGACAGCUGACAGGACGUCCACACAGCUUCAUCAGGUGUCAGGUAGAGCGGGUCGUCCACUGAUCAGGAGAUCGACGGUUCGAUUCCUGACUCCUCCGGUCUGCAUGUCCAGGUGUCCUCAGACAAGAUACUGAACCCCAAACUGCUCCUGAUGAGCAGAGUCUGCAGCCCACCUGAGAGUCUGCAGCCCACCUGAGAGUCUGCAGCCCACCUGAGAGUCUGCAGCUCACCUGAGGGUCUGCAGCCCAUCUGAGAGUCUGUAGCCCACCUGAGAGUCUGCAGGCUACCUGAGAGUCUGCAGCCCACCCGAGAGUCUGCAGCCCACCUGAGAGUCUGCAGCCCACCUGAGAGUCUGCAGCCCACCUGAGAGUCUGCAGGCUACCUGAGAGUCUGCAGCCCACCCGAGAGUCUGCAGCCCAUCUGAGAGUCUGCAGCCCAUCUGUGAGUCUGCAGCCCAUCUGAGAGUCUGCAGCUCACCUGAGAGUCUGCAGCCCACCUGAGAGUCUGCAGCCCACCUGAGAGUCUGCAGCCCACCUUAGAGUCUUCAACCCACCUGAGGGUCUGCAGCCCAUCUGAGAGUCUGCAGCUCACCUGAGAGUCUGCAGCCCACCUUAGAGUCUUCAACCCACCUGAGGGUCUGCAGCCCAUCUGAGAGUCUGCAGCUCACCUGAGAGUCUGCAGCCCACCUGAGAGUCUGCAGCCCACCUGAGGGUCUGCAGCCCACCUGAGAGUCUGCAGCCCACCUGAGAGUCUGCAGCCCACCUGAGGGUCUGCAGGCCACCUGAUGAAGGCCACAAGCUGAAACUCAUUAGUCUAACAAUAAAGUUGUUCUAUAUACUACAAGUGUUGCUGGAGUUUUUCCUUCUCCGUGCACCUUGGAAGUAGGUGAAGUUGUGCCAGAAACCACUACGCUGCUUCAAGAGAGGUCGCUAAAAUAUGAGGAACAGAGGAAUAUCAGGAACAAUGGAGAGGUUAGUGUUACUACACAGAACCAAAUCUAAAAUGACAUUUACAGAGAAGAAUGUGCUCAGUUAAGAUCUGGCAGAUAUGAAGGUUUUCCUGCAGAGCAACAUCUGUGUGUUUUUGUGAUUUUGGUGUCAAGGAUGAAUUUCAUUUUGCCUUCAUAAAGUGACUCCAGGAAUCAUUUGUUUGAAAAGAUCCAAUCCAAUGAUUUGUUUUGGUCAUCUGAAGCUUUUUAAUGUGAAGAUUUAUAGAAAAUGCACAGCAACAUUACGAAGUUAUGUUGUUUUUUUAAAUUUAACAUUACGUUUUUUGGGUUUUUUGUAACAUGACUUUUUUUUAUCAUAACAUUACGUGAUUGUGAUGCAUGGAGCGGCUCUGACGUCAUCUGAAUCCGCAUGAACGCAUAAAUCAUCCACCCGAUCACACAUGAGCGUUAUUUCUCAGAGGGAUGAUAUGAUAACAGACUAUACUGAAAUA
Molecule: long non-coding RNA, 1609 nt
Organism: Thunnus maccoyii (southern bluefin tuna)
Lineage: Eukaryota; Metazoa; Chordata; Actinopteri; Scombriformes; Scombridae
Exons: 5
Source: RefSeq, a predicted model, not a curated record